CAGUCGCCGCGGGAAUACGUAGGGUGCGAGCGUUAAUCGGAAUUACUGGGCGUAAAGCGUGCGCAGGCGGUUAUGUAAGACAGUUGUGAAAUCCCCGGGCUCAACCUGGGAACUGCCUCUGUGACUGCAUAGCUAGAGUACGGUAGAGGGGGAUGGAAUUCCGCGUGUAGCAGUGAAAUGCGUAGAUAUGCGGAGGAACACCGAUGGCGAAGGCAAUCCCCUGGACCUGUACUGACGCUCAUGCACGAAAGCGUGGGGAGCAAACAGGAUUAGAUACCCCCGUAGUCCCUGUCUCUUAUAC
RNAcentral lists this ribosomal RNA (301 nucleotides) under uncultured bacterium. Its description in RNAcentral is "partial 16S ribosomal RNA". It matches the Rfam family "Bacterial small subunit ribosomal RNA", at positions 509 to 807 of the family's 1533-position model. The record is from RNAcentral.